RNAcentral lists this ribosomal RNA (439 nucleotides) under uncultured Actinomycetales bacterium. RNAcentral's name for it is "bacterial SSU rRNA". It matches the Rfam family "Bacterial small subunit ribosomal RNA", at positions 341 to 792 of the family's 1533-position model. The record is from RNAcentral. Lineage: Bacteria; Bacillati; Actinomycetota; Actinomycetes; Actinomycetales.
ACGGGAGGCAGCAGUGGGGAAUAUUGCGCAAUGGGCGAAAGCCUGACGCAGCGACGCCGCGUGGGGGAUGACGGCCUUCGGGUUGUAAACCUCUUUCAGCAGGGACGAAGCGCAAGUGACGGUACCUGCAGAAGAAGCACCGGCCAACUACGUGCCAGCAGCCGCGGUAAUACGUAGGGUGCAAGCGUUGUCCGGAAUUAUUGGGCGUAAAGAGCUCGUAGGCGGUUUGUUGCGUCGGCUGUGAAAUCCCGAGGCUCAACCUCGGGUCUGCAGUCGAUACGAGCAAACUAGAGUGUUGCAGGGGAGACUGGAAUUCCUGGUGUAGCGGUGAAAUGCGCAGAUAUCAGGAGGAACACCGGUGGCGAAGGCGGGUCUCUGGGCAACAACUGACGCUGAGGAGCGAAAGCGUGGGGAGCGAACAGGAUUAGAUACCCUGGUA